This 495-nucleotide ribosomal RNA is filed under the name uncultured bacterium. RNAcentral describes it as "partial 16S ribosomal RNA". It matches the Rfam family "Bacterial small subunit ribosomal RNA", at positions 28 to 507 of the family's 1533-position model. The record is from RNAcentral.
GACGAACGCUGGCGGCGUGCCUAAUACAUGCAAGUAGAACGCUGAAGGAGGAGCUUGCUUCUCUGGAUGAGUUGCGAACGGGUGAGUAACGCGUAGGUAACCUGCCUGGUAGCGGGGGAUAACUAUUGGAAACGAUAGCUAAUACCGCAUAAUAUUGACUAUUGCAUGAUAGUCAGUUGAAAGGUGCAACUGCACCACUACCAGAUGGACCUGCGUUGUAUUAGCUAGUUGGUGGGGUAACGGCUCACCAAGGCGACGAUACAUAGCCGACUUGAGAGGGUGAUCGGCCACACUGGGACUGAGACACGGCCCAGACUCCUACGGGAGGCAGCAGUAGGGAAUCUUCGGCAAUGGACGGAAGUCUGACCGAGCAACGCCGCGUGAGUGAAGAAGGUUUUCGGAUCGUAAAGCUCUGUUGUAAGAGAAGAACGAGUGUGAGAGUGGAAAGCUCACACUGUGACGGUAUCUUACCAGAAAGGGACGGCUAACUACGUG